This is a non-coding RNA of Lolium perenne, 2991 nucleotides long. NCBI's taxonomy places the organism in Eukaryota, Viridiplantae, Streptophyta, Magnoliopsida, Poales, Poaceae. The record is from RefSeq and is a predicted model, not a curated record.
UCCGGACCCUCUCAAAGAAAGAAAAAAAAAUCCCCACGGCACCUACCGGAGCUCCUCGACCUGGGCGACGGGCGACCGAAAUCCCGACGAGAGUGGCCGGCCAACGCUCGCGGAAGAUAGGGCCCGUUGCUGCUCACGAAGGAUUCAGUCCGUUCUGGUCGGGGCCGACGGGCGAAGGCCCGGAGCGCCGCCAGGUCGUAGGCGCGCCACACCCUCCUUUCUCUCCCGAGGCGGCUUGCGGUGCGACGGAGCUCCGCAUCCUCCAAUCACUCCUGAGGCGGCUGAAAGCGUAGAGGAUGACAUCGGCGCACUCCUCUUCCUCUCGAGCCGGCGUGGUGCUUUGUAACCAACCUCUGAAUUUUCGAAUUUGCAUACAAGUACGAGGGCAACGAUGCAACCACGAGGAUGGGCAAUUUCCACCCCACCGGCUGGCCAGCAGUGUGAGAUCUCGACGGUCAGCGGCACCGUCGCUCCACUCGCUCCCGAGGCGGCUGGAAGCGCGGAGACGGACAUCAUCACACUCCUCCACCUCCAGCGAUGCUCUUUCCGUAACCUCCGGCUGGCGGCGCGGAGGAGCCCAAAGCUCAGACAGCUGAAGGCGUCGGGCAGGCAAGGUGAGUUGGUGCACGUGCAGGAGCUCACACCGGCCACAAGCCGUCGAUGCGGCAGAGGGGGCGGAGAUCGAGCAAGAUAAAAGUCUAAGGCAGCAGCCGUGAUAAGUUUGAUGGAGCGGCGCUGGGUCUGGAUGCGGGAGGAGCCAUGGUAGCACAAGUGUACUCUAUGGAGGGGACUAGAUGUGGUGGGUUUGGCUCUAGGAGAAGCCACCCGCUGCUCCUGAACGGUGACGAUGACAACAGUGUGCUCGACCACACGAUCUCCAUGCAUCCCCAUCUCUGGGAAAGGUUCAUAUGCCAUCGUGCACGGCAGCGGCCGGAACACAGCUGAAUAUGCAUUGUUAGCCAUAUCACAUGCCAGUUAUCUAACUGCAAUUUGGUGUAUAGGUAAAAGGGACAUUUCAUAUGAUGGGGUGAUCAAUGGACUGCACUUCAAACGAUGGGUGUAUUUCGGCAAAGCAGAGCCCAGCAUCUAUCAUCCAUGCCAUUUAUAAGCUGUUGCCGGAUACCUGAAGAGGCACAUAUUUUUUUUGCAAGGAUCCUUCAUUAUUCGAGGUAUGUAGUGUGUCAGUCAAAUGCUUACCUACUCUUUAUGCAAAUAUUCUCUCAAAUAGUUGUUGCCAAACAUUUUCUACAUUCGAAUUUAAUAUAACAAUUAUCUUCAAGGUUGUCCAGUAAUAUGUUUCAGUUUUCAUCACACAUAAUUGCCAAUUUUCCUUAGUACUUAACAAUAUGGUGGCAUCACUGCUGAAUACUUACAAGCUUUUUAGGCGCUAGCUAUGGGCCCAAAUCUUGAAUAAAAAAAUUGACCAGGAAGAUGAAUGUGCAACCUAAUUUUGGCCUAUUGAAGUUUUUUUUUCCUUGGGGGCCUUUUUUCAGUAUAAGCAGUAUGACACAUUAAACUAUAAUUAAUGCCAUAAUUUAUUUAGAUGUGUUUGACCAUGCUGAAAUCAAUGUUCUUUCUUAAUUUUAAGGUUUUGAAUGGUUUUCUUCUUUCUUUUGUAUGACCAGAUCACUAGGAUAGGUACUGUACAUAUUGGUUUACUUUGUAAUAACAUUGAUGUAUGCUGGUGAGUAUCCAUGCAUAUUUAACAUAGUUGGUACCUGGGAUAUAUGCUGUUGCAGAAGCCGUAUUCUUAUCAUGUAGUUAUGUUGCCAUUGAGUAGCAUAUUACCAAUUUAUUGUUGGUCAACGCAUGUUUUAAUUUACAUCCUCAAAUAAGUAUGGGUUGUAAAAUUAUGUUAGUAGUUGUUCAAAGGAAAGUGGCAAAUAUUUCUUCGUCAACGCAAUUAUAUCUGAUGGUUUAGCACAGCCUUCAAAACUAUAUUGGUGAAGGCCACAAAGUGGUUUUGAUUGAUUUGGAGUUUCAGUAUAAGUUGCAUGUCCUACGAUUGGAUUGAUAGUGUGAGUAGUCGGUCUUCCUUCCACUGACCAUGGCGGCUACACUGAUUUAGUAAGUGCGUUAUUCCUGACUCUAAUCCCCAACUUCUCAUACUUAUGUGUUCCUACAACGCUCGCUCUGUACAUUAGGUUAUGCAUUGUUCCUGGUACUAUGUUCAGGAGCCAUUAUUUAGGUUCUCUGUGAAAAAAAAAAUCAUAUGUAGUAAUCAAGAGUAUUUUCUUCCAGUCCUCUGUGUGUGUGUGUGUGUGGAUUUUAUGUGUGCUUAACAGUAGCAAAAUAGAACAAUAAUGAAAAAAAUACACAUCAUGUAUAGCUUUUCGAAUGUGAGCAAACAGAGUUAACCUUAAGGCACCACUUCACCUUUUCUUCCACAAUAGUGAGCAAACAGAGUUAACUAUCUGUCACCACUUCAUUGUUUUGGCUGAAUACAUAUAUUUGUCACAAAGAUUCUGGUUCCUGAGGUGAGAUUUCCGAGCAGUUUAUUUUCUUAUUUUCACUUCUGCUAUUGUUGCAAGAGAGGAAUAGUUAGGUUUUUUUCCAAUAUCAAAUGGGUACCUUUUUUCCUUUUGCUCAAUUUUUAUUCUUUCCUUAUACAAAUAAACUAAUGGAAAAUGAUUACUUCUCAUAGGUGUGGGUUCUUUAUGACAAAAAAAAACUUGCAUAUGUAGCUCAGAAUGGAGGGGAUCUACAUCUACCACGGUGGUCCAAUUUUGCUUAGGCGAAUGUACCCCAUCUUUGGCAACAGUGGGUGUGAAAGAGAGAUCAGCCACAUUGAGUAAGCCGCUUCGUGGAAGCACUGUUAGUAUAAUAUUUGGCCAUCAUCGAGCUAUUUGCUUUUAUUCUCGCUUUUGCUGCCCCAGUCACACUAUUCGCCGAUCACCUAUUGGUUAGCAUGAUGUUCUUAAUUGUUUGAAUUAUAUAUCAUCGGACUGCAGUGACACUACUAAGCACCUUAAUUAUUUUAAUCAGACUGUA